Molecule: ribosomal RNA, 253 nt
Filed under: uncultured bacterium
Lineage: Bacteria
Description: partial 16S ribosomal RNA
Rfam family: Bacterial small subunit ribosomal RNA
Source: RNAcentral
UACGAAGGGGGCUAGCGUUGCUCGGAAUCACUGGGCGUAAAGGGUGCGUAGGCGGGUCUUUAAGUCAGGGGUGAAAUCCUGGAGCUCAACUCCAGAACUGCCUUUGAUACUGAAGAUCUUGAGUUCGGGAGAGGUGAGUGGAACUGCGAGUGUAGAGGUGAAAUUCGUAGAUAUUCGCAAGAACACCAGUGGCGAAGGCGGCUCACGGGCCCGAUACUGACGCUGAGGCACGAAAGCGUGGGGAGCAAACAGG